This 502-nucleotide ribosomal RNA is filed under the name uncultured SAR324 cluster bacterium. RNAcentral's name for it is "bacterial SSU rRNA". It matches the Rfam family "Bacterial small subunit ribosomal RNA", at positions 1 to 527 of the family's 1533-position model. Lineage: Bacteria; Deltaproteobacteria. The record is from RNAcentral.
UAGGGUUCGAUCCUGGCUCAGGACGAACGCUGGCGGCAUGCCUAACACAUGCAAGUCGAACGAGAAAGUUCCUUCGGGAGCAAUUAAAGUGGCGCACGGGUGAGUAACGCGUAGACAAUCUGCCCUUCAGUCUGGGACAACUUUUCGAAAGGAGAGCUAAUACCGGAUAACAAUGCAUGACACAAGUUGUAUAUUUGAAAGCUUUAUGUGCUGAAGGAGGGGUCUGCGUCCCAUUAGCUAGUUGGUAAGGUAAAGGCUUACCAAGGCAACGAUGGGUAGCGGGUUUGAGAGGACGAUCCGCCACACUGGAACUGAGACACGGUCCAGACUCCUACGGGAGGCAGCAGUGGGGAAUAUUGCACGAUGGAGGAAACUCUGAUGCAGCAAUGUCGCGUGAGUGAAGAAGGCCCUUGGGUCGUAAAGCUCUUUUAUGGGGGAAGAUGAUGACGGUACCCCAAGAAUAAGCACCGGCUAACUAUGUGCCAGCCGCCGCGGUAAUUCA